Molecule: ribosomal RNA, 381 nt
Filed under: uncultured bacterium
Lineage: Bacteria
Description: bacterial SSU rRNA
Rfam family: Bacterial small subunit ribosomal RNA
Source: RNAcentral
GACGAACGCUGGCGGCGUGCUUAACACAUGCAAGUCGAACGCGUGUAGCAAUACACGAGUGGCGGACGGGUGAGUAACGCGUGGGAACCUGCCCAAUGGUAGGGAAUAACUGCGGGAAACUGCAGCUAAUACCCUAUGCUCCCUACGGGGGAAAGAUUUAUCGCCAUUGGAGGGGCCCGCGUCGGAUUAGCUAGUUGGCGGGGUAACGGCCCACCAAGGCUACGAUCCGUAGCUGGUCGAGAGGAUGAUCAGCCACACUGGGACUGAGAUACGGCCCAGACUCCUACGGGAGGCAGCAGUGGGGAAUAUUGGACAAUGGGCGAAAGCCUGAUCCAGCGAUGCCGCGUGUGUGAAGAAGGCCUGCGGGUUGUAAAGCACUUU